GCGAGACCCGGGCUGCCCUUGCUCCUAGCCGCUGUCCCUCGACCCUGCGCGCCGCACUCCAGGAAAAAAAUGCGUGCUCACCGAGAAACACGUUUUUGCCAAAUAAAUUUAAACGGAAGGAAAGAAACGUGUACACGCCGGGCGAAAUGGACGUAAAAAGAAAACCACAACGAACAGGCCAAACCAGGUGCUUCUACGAGUUUGCAACAUGAAGUUUAGGAAACAUUGGUUGGUGUGUUGAAGUAUUCUACCGUUUAUGCUGUAAUGACCCACUGCAGGAACGACCAGACAAAAGCAACCCGAGACGUGUGCCUGCACAGGAAAUCGCCAUGUGUGGUUGUGUUAGCUUUCUGACAAAAUGCCCCACCGAGCAGCUUCAAAAGAAGACGUUGUUUGGUUCACAACCUCGGAACUUCAGUCCAUGGUUGCUUGACCCCAAUGUCUUUUGAGGUCUGUGUGAAGCCAAAGUGUCAUAGCAUCUUCUAAUGCAGCAUGAGGCAAGGAGAUUGGGGGCAAGAUACACCCUCCGAAGCCACGCCUCCAAUGACUUAAUCCAUCGCGUGAAGUCACUACACUACACCAGCUGGGAACCACGUGGCCAAGCGUGCACUCUCAGUGCUUCCUGUCCACGCCAUAAUAAACGUGUUUCUCAUUUCUAGAGGUGAA
This is a non-coding RNA of Mus caroli (Ryukyu mouse), 666 nucleotides long. The record is from RefSeq and is a predicted model, not a curated record. NCBI's taxonomy places the organism in Eukaryota, Metazoa, Chordata, Mammalia, Rodentia, Muridae.